AAUUGGGAAGAGUUGGGUGUGGGGUUGGGGACGUCUGAGGGUCGCCCUGGGAACCUUCGGGAAGCCUUUUCACCUCUGGAAAGGCUCCUCACACCUGGACCAAGAAGGGGUGAAGAAAUUGUAGGAAUGAAGCUGAGGCCCAACGCCACUCACUUGGUCAAUGACAGAGAUGGGAUUUGAACCCAGGCUGUCAGGCUUCAGAGUCUGUGCUGUUCUUCACUGUGAAACACCCUCUGAUCACGCUUUAAAUUGUACCAAGAUUGUAAUUAGCACAUGAAUCAACUCAAGAUGGCCAUUAGCACAUGGAUGUCUUUGAGCAGGUGAAAGCCAAUAAUUCAGAAUCCCAGGAAAUAAAUAAGAUUAACAAGUGUCAUGGGUGACUCGCUGGAGGGACAUGCCAGCCAAGCAGGACACCAGGGGUGAUUUGUUAUAGCAGCUGGCAUCACACUCACCGCCACACUGACCCUUCCUCUCUGGCCCCUGAUAUCAAUAAAGCUUGAGCCCAUCCU
Long non-coding RNA from Talpa occidentalis (Iberian mole), 509 nucleotides. RefSeq lists it as uncharacterized. The record is from RefSeq and is a predicted model, not a curated record. Lineage: Eukaryota; Metazoa; Chordata; Mammalia; Eulipotyphla; Talpidae. The transcript is spliced from 3 exons.